GCCAGCCUGGUCUACAAAGUGAGGUCCAGGACAGCCAGGGCUAUAAAGAGAAACCCUGUCUCGAAAAACCAAAAAAAAAAAAAAAAAAAAAAAAAAAAAAAAGAAAACAGUUGCUCUGUGAGGUUCUAGUUCUCUGGCCCCAAAGAGACCAGCAGAGAGAAAAACACAAGUCAGGAUGUCCACUCAUAGGCUCAAAACCUUACCUGUCAGUGGCAAUUGAGAGAAGCUAUGGAAGACCAGAGUAUGCCAGCCAACAGACUAAAGAACUCUCAUAGCCAGUUAUGGUGGCCAGAGUAAAAUCCCUCCCAAAACAAAGUUUCAAAAUCAUGUAAAAGUUUAAAGAAUUAAGGUUUAGAGCUGGAGAGAUGGCUCAGUGGUUAAGAGCACUGACUGCUCUUCCAGAGGUCCUGAGUUCAAUUCCCAGCAACCACAUGGUGGCUCACCACCAUCUCUAAUGGGAUCUGAUGCCCUCUUCUGGUGUGUGUCUGAAGACAGCUUAAGUGUAUUGUAUUGUAUAUAAAUACAAUAAAAAUUAAGUUUUAUAUAUGAACCAUGCAAGACUUCUUAGCACUGAUGCAAAGCCCAGCAAUGACACUGCAGUUGCACAAAGUGGAGGGGUGGGUUCCAUGCUGCUAAAUCAGUGGCAGAAAGGCUCCCACUCCUUCCCCCUGCUUGGUCUGUCUGUAUGUGUGUCUUUCUCUCCCUCCCUCCAUCUGUCUUCGCCCUCCCCAACUGUCUCUCUUUCUCCCCACCCCCACCCAUGUGUAUGUCUGUCUGUCCCAGAAGGAGAGCACUUAGUGCCUCGGCAUUAAGGGACACGUGGUCCAUUUUGUGAGCAGGGAACAGGGUAGAGAUGAGUAAAGUUCUGUCUUGGAGCUGGGCUGAGUGGUAAGAAGCUCACCUGACAUUCACAGGACCCUAGGUGUUGGGAGGUAGGGUAUCAGCUGGUCUAACCAUCUUGACUUGGUUGCAUCUGAUGAAAAAAGAGAAAAGUAAAGAUGAAGUUAUUCAAAUACACCUAAAACUGAAAGCCUCACAGCUGGGUAUGGUUCUUGGUUUGGUCAGUUUCCUACACUCUUCCUGUUCAGUAGGACUCCACAGCACAGUGAGGUUUCCUAUAGCAGGAGAUUUCCUAGGCUCUACUGGCUCUCAGCAAUGCAGACGGAUGCUUGUGGAGAGCCAGCCGUAUACACUAACCUGAAAGUUACCAUCCAAAAGUGAGGGAUCAGAUUGCCGCUUUCCCACUUUGCAAUUACUUGGAAUGGUUGUUAUAGCCAGAUGGUGCCCCAUACCUUUAAUCCCACACUAAGGCAUAAGCAGGCAGAUCUCUGUGAGUUCAAGGCUAGCCUGGUCUACAUAGCAAGUUCCAGGGCUACAUAAUAGGCUAGAAAAUUGGCUCAACAGUCAAAAGCAUUGGUUUCUUUUGCAAAGUACCCAGGUUCCAUUUCCAGAACCCACUUGGCAGUUCACAACUGUCUGUAACUCUGUUUCCCCGGGAUCCAAUACCUUCUUUAUAAUGGCCUCCAUGGUACACAUACAUGCAUGCAAGCAAAAUAUUCAUACACGUAUGUAGGCUUAGAUUUUUUGAAAACCUACUUUAAUAAAGGUUCUUAAAUGCUUAGGCCUUCUUUCUAACCCAGCAACCAAAGGUAAGGGAGAAAGAGAUUACUAGGACAAGGGGGAUGUGGACCUGUUUAGAAGUAGUUCUUUGGGGCGAUUCCAAUCUUCAUUGUCAAGAUAUCAGCAGUCCAGUCCAAAACAUCAAACACAAAUCAAUAGCAGUAGCUAAAUGAAUUAGAAAUCACAAGAGUCCUCAUAAGUGUCAGGAAGCAGCCAGAAUACCACGAGAAGUUCAUUUUUCUCUACAAAGUCACGACAAGGGAAUAUCAGUGAAGACCAGCAGAGCAUUGCAGUGCAAGUCUAUGCACAAGCACCUUUCACUAUCUGCUGUGUUAUACUUACGCUCUCUGCAAACAUCACACAUCCUUUCAAGUGUCUGCCUCAGCCAAACAUCCUCUCAAUAGACCUCGUCCAGGAAAACACCACAUGACACAACCGAGUCUCCAAAGAAACCUGAAAUUGCCCCUUCACACAUGAAUAAGUAAUUUUUAACUCAAGUGUUCAGCUGUCUCAUAAGGAAUGCAAACUCAUGCCUUAGGUGUGUACUGUCCUUUUCCAAUACCUAUCUCUCCUCUAAUGCUUAAGUCUAUAUUAAAACUCUUGU
Molecule: long non-coding RNA, 2224 nt
Filed under: Mus musculus (house mouse)
Lineage: Eukaryota; Metazoa; Chordata; Mammalia; Rodentia; Muridae
Description: long non-coding RNA chr13:55110095-55112319
Source: RNAcentral